This 777-nucleotide ribosomal RNA is filed under the name uncultured Neocallimastigales. RNAcentral's name for it is "partial large subunit ribosomal RNA". It matches the Rfam family "Eukaryotic large subunit ribosomal RNA", at positions 18 to 644 of the family's 3401-position model. The record is from RNAcentral. Lineage: Eukaryota; Fungi; Neocallimastigomycota; Neocallimastigomycetes; Neocallimastigales.
UCAGACGAUGCGUCAUGCAUAUCAAUAAGCGGAGGAAAAGAAACUAACAAGGAUUCCCUUAGUAACGGCGAGUGAAGCGGGAAGAGCUCAAAUUUGAAAUCUUCAAGGUUUUACCUUGACGAAUUGUAGUUUAAAGAAGUGUUUUCUGCUGAAGUUUUGGUAAAAGUUCUUUGGAAUAGGACAUCAUAGAGGGUGAGAAUCCCGUAUUUGACCAUUAUUUUCAGCUUUGUGAUACACUUUCAAAGAGUCGGAUUGUUUGGGAAUGCAGUCCAAAAUGGGUGGUAAAUUUCAUCUAAAGCUAAAUAUUGGCGAGAGACCGAUAGCGAACAAGUACCGUGAGGGAAAGAUGAAAAGAACUUUCGAAAAGAGAGUUAAAUAGUACGUGAAAUUGUCAAAAGGGAAGCGUUUGACACCAGUGUUGUUUUCCUCGAAAAUCAAUUAAAAAUGGCUCGAUUUUGUAUUGUUUGAGACCUUAAAAGCUCACUGUACAUUUUUCGUGUCUUUUUUAAUGCACUUUUCGUUUAACAAGUCAACAUCAGUUUCUUUUGUUGUAAAAGGGUCAUUGGAAGGUGGCUUUCUUUUCGGAGAAAGUGUUUAUAGCCUUUGGCCUCUGCAAUCGGAGAGACUGAGGUCUGCAGCGUAGACUCUUCGGGGUUAGAUACAUUUGUGCUAAGUUAUAGCUUUUUAUAGACAACUUGUUGACUAUAAUUAGUCUUGUAGCUUACUCGCUUAUGCUAUUUUACCUACGCUUAGGAUGUUGACUGAUAUGUAGUCGUA